RNAcentral lists this ribosomal RNA (253 nucleotides) under uncultured bacterium. Its description in RNAcentral is "partial 16S ribosomal RNA". It matches the Rfam family "Bacterial small subunit ribosomal RNA", at positions 524 to 776 of the family's 1533-position model. The record is from RNAcentral.
UACGUAGGGACCGAGCGUUGUCCGGAAUCAUUGGGCGUAAAGAGCGUGUAGGCGGCUAUUUAAGUCCUGCGUGAAAUCCUGCGGCUCAACCGCAGACGGUCGUGGGAAACUGGAUGGCUAGAGUACUGCAGGGGAGACUGGAAUUCCUGGUGUAGCGGUGGAAUGCGCAGAUAUCAGGAGGAACACCGGUGGCGAAGGCGGUCUGCUGGGCAGUUGCUGACACUGAGGCGCGACAGCGUGGGGAGCAAACAGG